CAUUGGAUCCAGACUUUGAUUCUGGCUCAGGAUGAACGCUAGCUACAGGCUUAACACAUGCAAGUCGAGGGGAAACGACAUCGAAAGCUUGCUUUUGAUGGGCGUCGACCGGCGCACGGGUGAGUAACGCGUAUCCAACCUGCCCACCACUUGGGGAUAACCUUGCGAAAGUAAGACUAAUACCCAAUGACGUCUCUAGAAGACAUCUGAAAGAGAUUAAAGAUUUAUCGGUGAUGGAUGGGGAUGCGUCUGAUUAGCUUGUUGGCGGGGUAACGGCCCACCAAGGCAACGAUCAGUAGGGGUUCUGAGAGGAAGGUCCCCCACAUUGGAACUGAGACACGGUCCAAACUCCUACGGGAGGCAGCAGUGAGGGAUAUUGGUCAAUGGACGAGAGUCUGAACCAGCCAAGUAGCGUGCAGGAUGACGGCCCUAUGGGUUGUAAACUGCUUUUAUAAGGGAAUAAAGUGAGUCUCGUGAGACUUUUUGCAUGUACCUUAUGAAUAAGGACCGGCUAAUUCCGUGCCAGCAGCUGCGGUAAUACGGAAGGUCCGGGCGUUAUCCGGAUUUAUUGGGUUUAAAGGGAGCGUAGGCCGGAGAUUAAGCGUGUUGUGAAAUGUAGACGCUCAACGUCUGCACUGCAGCGCGAACUGGUUUCCUUGAGUACGCACAAAGUGGGCGGAAUUCGUGGUGUAGCGGUGAAAUGCUUAGAUAUCACGAAGAACUCCGAUUGCGAAGGCAGCUCACUGGAGCGCAACUGACGCUGAAGCUCGAAAGUGCGGGUAUCGAACAGGAUUAGAUACCCUGGUAGUCCGCACGGUAAACGAUGGAUGCCCGCUGUUGGUCUGAAUAGGUCAGCGGCCAAGCGAAAGCAUUAAGCAUCCCACCUGGGGAGUACGCCGGCAACGGUGCAACUCAAAGGAAUUGACGGA
Molecule: ribosomal RNA, 929 nt
Filed under: uncultured Bacteroidota bacterium
Lineage: Bacteria; Pseudomonadati; Bacteroidota
Description: bacterial SSU rRNA
Rfam family: Bacterial small subunit ribosomal RNA
Source: RNAcentral